UACGAAGGGGGCUAGCGUUGUUCGGAAUCACUGGGCGUAAAGCGCACGUAGGCGGGUUUGUCAGUCAGGGGUGAAAUCCUGGGGCUCAACCUCGGAACUGCCUUUGAUACAGCAAAUCUCGAGCUCGGAAGAGGUGAGUGGAAUUCCUAGUGUAGAGGUGAAAUUCGUAGAUAUUCGGAAGAACACCAGUGGCGAAGGCGACUCGCUGGACAAGUAUUGACGCUGAGGUGCGAAAGCGUGGGGAGCAAACAGG
RNAcentral lists this ribosomal RNA (253 nucleotides) under uncultured prokaryote. RNAcentral's name for it is "partial 16S ribosomal RNA". It matches the Rfam family "Bacterial small subunit ribosomal RNA", at positions 524 to 776 of the family's 1533-position model. The record is from RNAcentral.